This 314-nucleotide ribosomal RNA is filed under the name uncultured bacterium. Its description in RNAcentral is "bacterial SSU rRNA". It matches the Rfam family "Bacterial small subunit ribosomal RNA", at positions 28 to 334 of the family's 1533-position model. The record is from RNAcentral.
GAUGAACGCUAGCGGCAGGCUUAACACAUGCAAGUCGAGGGGCAGCAUAAACAUUGCUUGCAAUGUUUGAUGGCGACCGGCGCACGGGUGCGUAACGCGUAUGUAACCUACCUCAAACAGGGGCAUAACACUGAGAAAUUGGUACUAAUUCCCCAUAACACUUGAUAGGGCACCCUAUUAGGUUGAAAGUUCCGGCGGUUUGAGAUGGACACGCGUUGUAUUAGCUAGUUGGUGAGGUAACGGCUCACCAAGGCGACGAUACGUAGGGGGACUGAGAGGUUAACCCCCCACAUUGGUACUGAGACACGGACCAA